Molecule: ribosomal RNA, 468 nt
Filed under: uncultured bacterium
Lineage: Bacteria
Description: partial 16S ribosomal RNA
Rfam family: Bacterial small subunit ribosomal RNA
Source: RNAcentral
GACGAACGCUGGCGGCGUGCUUAACACAUGCAAGUCGAACGGAAAGGCCCUGCUUUUGUGGGGUGCUCGAGUGGCGAACGGGUGAGUAACACGUGAGUAACCUGCCCUUGACUUUGGGAUAACUUCAGGAAACUGGGGCUAAUACCGGAUAGGAGCUCCUGCUGCAUGGUGGGGGUUGGAAAGUUUCGGCGGUUGGGGAUGGACUCGCGGCUUAUCAGCUUGUUGGUGGGGUAGUGGCUUACCAAGGCUUUGACGGGUAGCCGGCCUGAGAGGGUGACCGGCCACAUUGGGACUGAGGUACGGCCCAGACUCCAACGGGAGACAGCAGUGGGGAAUAUUGCACAAUGGGCGGAAGCCUGAUGCAGCGACGCCGCGUGCGGGAUGACGGCCUUCGGGUUGUGAACCGCUUUCGCCUGUGACGAAGCGUGAGUGACGGUAAUGGGUAAAGAAGCACCGGCUAACUACGUG